This 92-nucleotide transfer RNA is filed under the name Streptomyces longisporoflavus. Its description in RNAcentral is "tRNA-Thr". The record is from RNAcentral. Lineage: Bacteria; Bacillati; Actinomycetota; Actinomycetes; Kitasatosporales; Streptomycetaceae.
CGGGCUCGUGGCGCCGCACGCGGCGCGCGCCCUGGUGGGGCGCCGGCACGUACGGGUCGUCCCGGUGGCGAUCCUCCUCGGCGCGACCCUGG